Molecule: ribosomal RNA, 481 nt
Filed under: uncultured bacterium
Lineage: Bacteria
Description: partial 16S ribosomal RNA
Rfam family: Bacterial small subunit ribosomal RNA
Source: RNAcentral
GAUGAACGCUGGCGGCGUGCUUAACACAUGCAAGUCGAACGAAGCAUUUAAGACAGAUUACUUCGGUUUGAAGUCUUUUAUGACUGAGUGGCGGACGGGUGAGUAACGCGUGGGUAACCUGCCUCAUACAGGGGGAUAGCAGCUGGAAACGGCUGGUAAUACCGCAUAAGCGCACAGUACCACAUGGUACAGUGUGAAAAACUCCGGUGGUAUGAGAUGGACCCGCGUCUGAUUAGCUAGUUGGCGGGGUAACGGCCCACCAAGGCGACGAUCAGUAGCCGAGCUGAGAGGGUGACCGGCCACAUUGGGACUGAGACACGGCCCAGACUCCGACGGGAGGCAGCAGUGGGGAAUAUUGCACAAUGGAGGAAACUCUGAUGCAGCGACGCCGCGUGAGUGAAGAAGUAGUUCGCUAUGUAAAGCUCUAUCAGCAGGGAAGAUAGUGACGGUACCUGACGAAGAAGCUCCGGCUAAAUACGUG